UUAGGAUGUUGUUGUCGUGCUUGAACCUGGAAGCAUGCUCCACCGGGACUUGGGUUCGGUCGAGCAACAACUAGUCUGUUGAUGACGCCAGUCGCCGGCUGCUGUUCGGAGGCUAGCAAAAGGGCGAGAGGGUUUGCUAGUACGUAUAGAGCGUGUGCGAGUAAGUCGCUGGAAGCAGGGCAUUCUGGGCUAUCCAAAUUGCUCACCGGAGUUCAUCGCGACGGCUGAUCCGCAUGGUUUCGUUUCCGUGGCCAGAUCAUAUGCCAAAUCUGCUAUGGGUAAGGUUCUCUCCCUGCUGUUCUAUCUUGCAUAAACGUUGAGUAGAGUUCAUCGGAGGGGGGAAGAUGGGGUCGAGGCAGGUGUGGCGGCGAUCCACAGCCGCAUUGAGAGCCAUGUCGCGCUGCUUUCGCCCGAGAAUGGCCAGCCUGGGGUAGGCGAUGCGAGAGAAUAGGAGGGUGCAGGUCUGGUCGUUGGAUGAUAGUUCGUCAAUGUGAUUAGAGGUAUGCAUACCGGUUCGCUGGAUUGAAACCCGACCGUAGACUCUUGAUCCAACAUCGACGAUCACAUACCAGUUCGAUUUAAAGCUAAUCUAAUCAAGCCCGUUGACGAUAGAUCGGAUCCACGUUAUAACAGUUGUGGCACAUUUGUAAAACAGUCCUUGAGUUUUACGAAAUAGGAUCCACCGUCCAGUAAUUAAAUUGGGAUUUCACAGUUUAGCCCCUAGAAGUCACUUUUAGGUAUAAAAUUAAUAUCAAAUAACCUAGAAACUUGUAUAAUCCAUAUCUUACACAUUUUUGGAUUUGAUUUAACCCGUUCAAGUUGUGAUAGCUUCGUAAUUAAAAUGCCUACGUAUUAACAUCAUUAUUUUAUCAUAUAACAUUUUUUCAGAAAUGACUAACUAACUUGUCUAACCUAUGUUUAUUUAAGUAACUCCCCUAAUCUGAGUUAAUGUAGCAUUUUAAUUUGGCGCAUUUAUAACUUGUCUAAAAUAUAUCCAUAAUCAAGUUAUAGCUUCAAUUAAAGUAAAAUUAUCUAUGUUUCUAUAAAAUUUUCUCACAUGGUUUAUAAUCAACAUAGGAUAUAAUUUUAUUGCUUAAUCACCUAAAACUUCAAAAAAUCAUAACUCUUUAAUCGUAACUCUGAAUUUAGUUGUUCUCGAACCUAGGUUUUCAUUUCGAUGCGUAGAAUAUUAUUAUGUAGUUUGUUCUUAUAUUUGGUGUGAUGUUAAUUUUGUCUAUACCAUGUUUGUGUGUAUUGCUACGUUUAGCAGUGAGGACACGUGUCAUCUGAAGAGCAAGUUGGUAUCUGGAAUCUCAAGUCCCAGACAAGUUGUGCCCUUGAUCACUUCCUUUUUACCCAGUCAUGUUCUUAUUAAUCAUAAUGAUCUGCAUAGGUUUAUUUUGAUGGGACCCAAUAGGUUACCCUAGAUUUGACUAUCUUUAUACCUUGUUUCACCACUGGUUUUACUACUAAAUUUUUGGGUAGUACAUGUUAUUGCUUUAUGUGGUUUUGGGUAUAGAGAUAUUCGUUACUCAUGAUUAUACUUUUUAUUAUCUGUUCAUUAUUUACUGUUCAUGAUAAAAUCAUUAUGUUAAUGUGAACAUGGAGAACCACCUGGGAAAACAAUGCUACCACAAGGGUUUAAUGGGACGCCCUUGGCUGAUUAACUAGGAAAGCUAGUGGAUGACUACCUUACCCAAAAGGGGCAAGGGCAGUAGGGGAGUGGUCAGUGUAGGGAGGUUCUUGGUUGAUUUUGCUGCGAUGGCGGUCAGGCGAGGGAUUCCUGCACUAGAGCUUCCUAUAAACUGUAGCGGGGUUUCUGAAGCUAGUGGAACUUUGUAAAGGCCUCGUAGUGUCACCCUGUCUCGCCUCCUCGGUAGAGGUGUAUGGGAUUGGCCGUCUCUUGGCAGAUGGGUAACAUGACUUGUGGGUAAAGAUGUGCAACCUCUGAAGAGUGUAAAACUGGUAUACUAGCCGUGCUCACGGUCAUGAGCAGCUUGGACACUCACAUGAUGAAUUUAUGAAACUAAAUUCAAUUUGUCAUAUGCAUUGCAUCGCAGGUGAUGUUGUUACUUCUGUUCUACUACUUAAUUGGGUUGGUAUUACUUAUACAUAGUAAUUGCUAAUAAAAUUUUGACCAACUUUAAAAGCAAUGCUCAGCUCUAACCAUCCUCUUUGGUAAGCCUUACACUUCACGUGAGCUCCCACCUUUGGCGAGUUCAUGCACAUUAUUCCCCACAACUUGUUGAGCUUUGAACGUAUGUGAGCUCACUCUUGUUGUCUCACACCCCUCACAGGUCAAGAACAGGUACCACAUGAUGAGGCGCAUGGAGGAUGCUGAGAUGAGUUCGUGAGAGGUCUAGGCCGUCGUCUCCCAGUCAACUUUGGGUUGCUGGACCGUUGUCUCCUUAUAAUGUAAUUAUUUAUUUAUUUUGUAUAGAACUCUUAUUAUAUAGUAAAGAUGUGACAUCCGAUCAUGUGCCAUGAUUCAUCAUAUGUGUGGGACUUGGUCCCAGCACACCUGGUGAUUAUGUUCGCGCCCGGGUCUUGGUGCCCCGAAACCCGAGUGUGACACCCCUGAACUAUUUGGGUAGUUUUGCUAUUGCUUUAUAUGGUUUUGGGUUUAAUAUUACAUUAUGCUCAUGUUCUAAUUA
RNAcentral lists this long non-coding RNA (2654 nucleotides) under Zea mays. RNAcentral describes it as "long non-coding RNA (ZMAY_LNC005743)". The record is from RNAcentral. Lineage: Eukaryota; Viridiplantae; Streptophyta; Magnoliopsida; Poales; Poaceae.